RNAcentral lists this long non-coding RNA (456 nucleotides) under Bos taurus (domestic cattle). RNAcentral describes it as "long non-coding RNA NONBTAT024482". Lineage: Eukaryota; Metazoa; Chordata; Mammalia; Artiodactyla; Bovidae. The record is from RNAcentral.
UUUUUGGGGAUAUUUCAUUACAAAUUAUUUUGACAUUUUUUUAUAAAUAAGCAGAAAUUAUGGUAUACAUUUUAUUUUGAAGAAAAUCGAACUUUAUAAACUCAAGCUUUUGCACUAAAAUGCAAAAAGAAUGCUAUAUUAAGCACUAAGUGAAAGACAAGCCAUAUCUUUAAAAUGUCUUGGGGUAAAAAUUUUGAGAAAGGUUAUAUGAUAUAAGGAGAUAGCAUAUAUGAGUCAGGGUUUCAAAAUUGGCUUGAGUACUUGAUAGUUAUGCAGCUUCAGGUAAAUUAUAUAAAUCUGCUCAGCCUUCCAUGUCCUUCUAUUAAAAUGGGCCUACUGAGUUGAAAUCAGAAAUGAGAUUUCCUAUAUGAUGUGUGUAUAUGAAUGUUAUAUAUUUAUAUAUGCAAUGUAUUCAGAUAUUGAGUAUAUAGGUAACUUCCCCAGAGUUAAGCACAC